This 467-nucleotide ribosomal RNA is filed under the name uncultured bacterium. Its description in RNAcentral is "partial 16S ribosomal RNA". It matches the Rfam family "Bacterial small subunit ribosomal RNA", at positions 28 to 507 of the family's 1533-position model. The record is from RNAcentral.
GACGAACGCUGGCGGCGUGCUUAACACAUGCAAGUCGAACGGAAAGGCCUCUUUCGGGGGGUACUCGAGUGGCGAACGGGUGAGUAACACGUGAGUAACCUGCCCUUGACUUUGGGAUAACUUCAGGAAACUGGGGCUAAUACCGGAUAGGAGCUCCUGCUGCAUGGUGGGGGUUGGAAAGUUUCGGCGGUUGGGGAUGGACUCGCGGCUUAUCAGCUUGUUGGUGGGGUAGUGGCUUGCCAAGGCUUUGACGGGUAGCCGGCCUGAGAGGGUGACCGGCCACAUUGGGACUGAGAUACGGCCCAGACUCCUACGGGAGGCAGCAGUGGGGAAUAUUGCACAAUGGGUGGAAGCCUGAUGCAGCAACGCCGUGUGCGGGAUGACGGCCUUCGGGUUGUAAACCGCUUUCGCUCAUGACGAAGCUUUGUGUGACGGUAGUGGGUAAAGAAGCACCGGCUAACUACGUG